This 270-nucleotide ribosomal RNA is filed under the name Triticum aestivum (bread wheat). RNAcentral's name for it is "partial small subunit ribosomal RNA". Lineage: Eukaryota; Viridiplantae; Streptophyta; Magnoliopsida; Poales; Poaceae. The record is from RNAcentral.
AUGUUGCAAGACGGAAGACAAAUGCUGGCUGGCGAACGCUUAGUUAGUCAUGCCAACAAAGGAGCCUGUCCAGACAAUCAGAUGAUACAUCCGAGCUUGACACUCUUCCGCUGCUCUAACGAACCUUCCCUUUAUUAUCUUUCCAGACAACAGGAGAUGAUAGACUUAGAGUCAGUCAUGCCAACAGAGGAGCCUCUCUGCUCCCAUGCCUACAAGGCUAAGUACAAAUUAUUUUGGUUGUUAGAGUUUAAAGCAGAUCAUAUGCUAUAA